AAGUUCUGGUGCCCUAGCUAGCCCGCGGUAAAUUUCCCAGCUUCCAAAUAGCGUAUUAUUAAAAGUUGUUGCCAGUUAAAAAAAGCUUCGUAAGUUGAAACUUUCUGACGGCGUGCCCGGUAAAGGGCUUUCGGUUCUGCCCGGAUUAGCGUUCGUUCCAUCCCGUUCUGCCAAAACCCUUCGUUUCGACCCUUUACUGGUUUCGGCGAAGUUGAGUUAGACCAAUUUACUUUGAAAAAAAAUUAGAGUGUUUUCCAAGCCAGGCGAAUUAGCCCCGAAAUACUUUAGCCAUGGAAAUUAAUGGAAAUAGGACCUCUGUUCCCAUAUUAUUUAAAAUUGGCUGUGGGCCAUGAGUUAAUGAUUUAAUUAGGGACCAGUUGGGGGCCAUUAGUAUUUAAUUGUCAGAGGUGAAAUUCUUGGAUUUAUUAAAGACUAACUAAUGCGAAAGCCAUUUGCUCAAGGAUGUUUUCCAUUAAUCAAGAACGAAAGUUAGGGGAUCUAAGAACGAUCAGAUACUGUC
This 520-nucleotide ribosomal RNA is filed under the name uncultured ciliate. RNAcentral's name for it is "bacterial SSU rRNA". It matches the Rfam family "Eukaryotic small subunit ribosomal RNA", at positions 557 to 1019 of the family's 1831-position model. Lineage: Eukaryota; Ciliophora. The record is from RNAcentral.